Molecule: microRNA precursor, 55 nt
Filed under: Sarcophilus harrisii (Tasmanian devil)
Lineage: Eukaryota; Metazoa; Chordata; Mammalia; Dasyuromorphia; Dasyuridae
Description: Sha-Mir-7373-o5_pre stem-loop
Source: RNAcentral
UAGCCCUUGUCCUUCUGCCUUAGAAAUGCUACUAAGACAGAAAGUAAGGGUUGGC